This 658-nucleotide ribosomal RNA is filed under the name uncultured bacterium. Its description in RNAcentral is "bacterial SSU rRNA". It matches the Rfam family "Bacterial small subunit ribosomal RNA", at positions 28 to 680 of the family's 1533-position model. The record is from RNAcentral.
AUUGAACGCUGGCGGCAUGCCUUACACAUGCAAGUCGAACGGCAGCACGGGUACUUGUACCUGGUGGCGAGUGGCGAACGGGUGAGUAAUACAUCGGAACGUACCUUAUCGUGGGGGAUAACGCAGCGAAAGCUGUGCUAAUACCGCAUACGCCCUUAGGGGGAAAGCGGGGGAUCGCAAGACCUCGCGCGAUUAGAGCGGCCGAUGCCUGAUUAGCUUGUUGGUGGGGUAAAAGCCCACCAAGGCGACGAUCAGUAGCUGGUCUGAGAGGACGAUCAGCCACACUGGGACUGAGACACGGCCCAGACUCCUACGGGAGGCAGCAGUGGGGAAUUUUGGACAAUGGGGGAAACCCUGAUCCAGCAAUGCCGCGUGAGUGAAGAAGGCCUUCGGGUUGUAAAGCUCUUUUGUCAGGGAAGAAACACCGGCUCUAACACAGUCCGGGAAUGACGGUACCUGAAGAAUAAGCACCGGCUAACUACGUGCCAGCAGCCGCGGUAAUACGUAGGGUGCAAGCGUUAAUCGGAAUUACUGGGCGUAAAGCGUGCGCAGGCGGUUAUACAAGACAGGCGUGAAAUCCCCGGGCUUAACCUGGGAAUGGCGCCUGUGACUGUAUAGCUAGAGUGUGUCAGAGGGGGGUAGAAUUCCACGUGUAGCA